This 429-nucleotide ribosomal RNA is filed under the name Bacteroidota bacterium. Its description in RNAcentral is "Bacteroidetes bacterium partial 16S ribosomal RNA". It matches the Rfam family "Bacterial small subunit ribosomal RNA", at positions 355 to 776 of the family's 1533-position model. The record is from RNAcentral. Lineage: Bacteria; Pseudomonadati; Bacteroidota.
UAGGGAAUCUUCCGCAAUGGACGCAAGUCUGACGGAGCAACGCCGCGUGCGUGAAGAAGGAUUUCGGUUCGUAAAACUCUGUUGUUAGAGAAGAACAGCGCAUAGAGUAACUGUUAUGCGUGUGACGGUAUCUAACCAGAAAGCCACGGCUAACUACGUGCCAGCAGGCGCGGUAAUACGUAGGUGGCAAGCGUUGUCCGGAUUUAUUGGGCGUAAAGCGAGCGCAGGCGGUCAAUUAAGUCUGAUGUGAAAGCCCCCGGAUCAACCGGGGAGGGUCAUUGGAAACUGGUUGACUUGAGUGCAGAAGAGGAGAGUGGAAUUGCAUGUGUAGCGGUGAAAUGCGUAGAUAUAUGGAGGAACACCAGUGGCGAAGGCGACUCGCUGGUCUGUAACUGACGCUGAGGCUCGAAAGCGUGGGUAGCAAACAGG